Molecule: ribosomal RNA, 301 nt
Filed under: uncultured bacterium
Lineage: Bacteria
Description: partial 16S ribosomal RNA
Rfam family: Bacterial small subunit ribosomal RNA
Source: RNAcentral
CAGUAGCCACGGUAAUACAGAGGGUGCAAGCGUUAAUCGGAAUUACUGGGCGUAAAGCGCGCGUAGGUGGUUCGUUAAGUUGGAUGUGAAAUCCCCGGGCUCAACCUGGGAACUGCAUCCAAAACUGGCGAGCUAGAGUAGGGCAGAGGGUGGUGGAAUUUCCUGUGUAGCGGUGAAAUGCGUAGAUAUAGGAAGGAACACCAGUGGCGAAGGCGACCACCUGGGCUCAUACUGACACUGAGGUGCGAAAGCGUGGGGAGCAAACAGGAUUAGAGACCCCCGUAGUCCCUGUCUCUUAUAC